AAGAAAGUAAGAAAGGGCGUAUGGCGGAUGCCUAGGCUCACGGAGGCGAUGAAGGACGUGAUAAGCUGCGAUAAGCUUCGGGUAGGUGCAAAUAACCUUUGAUCCGAAGAUUUCCGAAUGGGACAACCUAGCCGUCUGAAGGACGGUUACUCAAUCUUCAAGAUUGAGAGCUAACGCAGGGAACUGAAACAUCUUAGUACCUGCAGGAAGAGAAAAUAAAUGAAUGAUUCCCCUAGUAGUGGCGAGCGAACGGGGAACAGCCCAAACCGUUGACGUCGCAAGGCGCCAGCGGGGUUGUAGGACCGCGACAUUGUACUGAAAUGGUGAGUGGAAGUAUCUGGAAAGUUACAUCACAGAAGGUGAUAAUCCUGUACACGAAGCCAGAUCAGGCAUAGCGGUAUCCUGAGUAACGCGGGACACGAGGAAUCCUGCGCGAAUCUGCCGGGACCAUCCGGUAAGGCUAAAUACUCCCGUGAGACCGAUAGCGAACGAGUACUGUGAAGGAAAGGUGAAAAGAACCCCGAGCAGGGGAGUGAAAUAGUUCCUGAAACCAUACGCCUACAAGCGGUCGGAGCAUCGUAAGAUGUGACGGCGUGCCUUUUGCAUAAUGAUCCUACGAGUUACCGUCACUGGCGAGGUUGAGUGUCA
RNAcentral lists this ribosomal RNA (648 nucleotides) under Segatella copri. RNAcentral's name for it is "partial 23S ribosomal RNA". It matches the Rfam family "Bacterial large subunit ribosomal RNA", at positions 1 to 655 of the family's 2925-position model. Lineage: Bacteria; Pseudomonadati; Bacteroidota; Bacteroidia; Bacteroidales; Prevotellaceae. The record is from RNAcentral.